RNAcentral lists this ribosomal RNA (333 nucleotides) under Triticum aestivum (bread wheat). Its description in RNAcentral is "partial small subunit ribosomal RNA". Lineage: Eukaryota; Viridiplantae; Streptophyta; Magnoliopsida; Poales; Poaceae. The record is from RNAcentral.
CGCAAAGGCUUCACAACACCAAUGCCAGCCAAACAUCAUCUGGGUCCCGACGACAAUGGUAAAGAGUUCGAUCAAAAGGCAUACCGCUCCAUGAUUGGUUCUUUACUUUAUCUAUGUGCAUCUAGGCCAGAUAUUAUGCUUAGUGUUUGCAUGUGUGCUCGAUUUCAAGCGGCACCAAAGGAGUCGCAUCACUUAGCUGUGAAGCGAAUUCUUCGAUAUUUGGCUCACACCCCAACUCUAGGAUUAUGGUAUCCAAAGGGCUCAGAGUUUGAUCUGGUUGGAUUCUCGGAUGCUGAUUAUGCUGGUGACAAAGUUGAUCGCAAGUCUACAUCA